Molecule: non-coding RNA, 1122 nt
Organism: Macaca mulatta (Rhesus monkey)
Lineage: Eukaryota; Metazoa; Chordata; Mammalia; Primates; Cercopithecidae
Source: RefSeq, a predicted model, not a curated record
UGUUACAGCUGUGUCAGCUCUGCCCUGGACCAACUCUGAGAAAAGUGGGUUGAGUCUGAGAUCUUCGGGGAUUUGGCCCUGCUCAAGGAGAGAGUUGGGUAUCUCCAUAGAACAUCAGAUCAUAAGUCCCUGGGAAACAGCCCAAAAUCUCCAAAUCCUUCUGUUCAUUUAUUUCAGAAACAUCCUGGGCUGAGAUAGAAACCCAAGUCAGACUUUGAGUUUGCUUUGGGUAUUCAGGAAUUCCUGUCAAAAUGAAAUCUGCUCAACCGAGAGGAGGAUGAGUUGGGCUCCAGUUCUGGUCUGGAGGCAAGAAGUCCUAAAUCAGCGUCACCAGGCUGAAAUCAAGGACACUUAUAAUGACAUUUACGGCUCACUGGAUAAUCCAGGAUAAUCUCCCCAUCUCAAGAUUCUUAAUCACAUCUGCAAAGACCCUUCUUCUACAUAAGGUAAUGUUUAUAGUUUCUAGGGAUUAGAACCUUGUAUCUUUGGGAUCAUCAUUCAGCCUACUAUAGGCAUGCACUCUGUUCUCUCUCACACACAUAGUAACACUCAAUAUAUAUACUAUUCUAGGAGUCGUCACUGGACAACUUGGAGAACACUAACUGAUAAGUGCUUACUGAGCACCUGCUCUGUGCUGAGCUCUGUCCAAGUUGCAGCAGCAAAACAAAAGAAGUAUGAAACACAACCUCUGCCUUGAAGUAAAAGACAAAUAUGGUUGGAAGACAAGACUCAUACACAAGUGACAUAAAUAGAAACACUGCAAGACAGAAGAUAGUCAUAUAGUAUAGAUUAUAAAUGCUGUGAGAGUUCAAAUAAAGGAGAUCUUUAUUUAAAAAGUAAAGAAAAUAUUAGCAAUUUUAAAGCCUGCAGUUGUUCAGAGACAGUCUACAUUUUUCACUACUUGGGGAGUUCCAUAUAAAAUUACUUGUAACACCUACAAGGUCCGAGUGAAUAAAACACUGGAUGAUUAAAUAACUUUAAUGGCAUUAUAGACUUUUGCAAAAGCUUGAAGCAGUAUCUUAUAUCCAACUGGUCAUCUUUGUUAUUAAUUAUAAUCGGAUGUUGAUGAUACUCUGUACUGAAGUACAAAUUGGUUUGUAGAAGAUGAAUUUCUUUUCUUCU